Ornithorhynchus anatinus (platypus) is the source of this 138-nucleotide small nucleolar RNA. The record is from RefSeq and is a predicted model, not a curated record. NCBI's taxonomy places the organism in Eukaryota, Metazoa, Chordata, Mammalia, Monotremata, Ornithorhynchidae.
AUCCUCUCAGGAUGGCCCCUGGAGAGUUUCCAGUCCUCUACCAGUCUCGGCUACGGGAGGGAGAGUCGAGCAGAGGCCUGUCCGUUCCAUUCCUAGCGUGGCCAAAGGCUAGUGAGUGAAAGGCCAUCUGCUACAAGU